RNAcentral lists this long non-coding RNA (688 nucleotides) under Rattus norvegicus (Norway rat). RNAcentral describes it as "long non-coding RNA NONRATT004241". The record is from RNAcentral. Lineage: Eukaryota; Metazoa; Chordata; Mammalia; Rodentia; Muridae.
AGGUAGAGGGAAGCCUCCAAGCCGGUUUUGCAGAUGUCCUCACCCUCCGGCGGAAAAGCUACGAGUCUCCAAGCUGACCCAAGAUCACCCCUUGCCCGAAGAAGGGGAGAUCUCAAGAGCCCAGGGAUGGGCGGGAAGGGACCAUGGGGAGCCACAAGUCUGCACCCAGGCGGGGAGUGGGCGAGCGAGAGCCGCUCCGCAGGCGCAGAAGGCUGAAGCGGGCCAGUGACUACAUCUCUCUGGGUCUGUGUUCACCUUGGUGAGCCGAAAACUCCAGAGACACCUGUGGACACACCAGCUUGAACCCAGAGCUUUGCCUGUGCUAGGCAAGAGAGGACAAUGCUCUCAGUCUUCCCCCUGAGGAUACAUUGCAAGAACUCCAGCGUGCACAGAAAGAGAACCAAGAGUGGAACUGGUAUGUGCAGUGCCUGCGGGGGCCAGAAGAAGGCAUCAGACCUAAGAGGGACAGUUUUAAGUUGGAGCGUCUGAGAAGAUGGCAGAACUUACUUCAAGGGCUGCAGGAUGGUGGCUCACACCUACUAUCCUACCACCUAGGGGGAGCCGAUGGAGGAGAAUCGGGAGUUCAAGGUCAUCCUGGACUACAUAGCAAAUUUGAGGUCAGCCUGGACGGCCGAAGGUCCUGGAUUCAACUCUCAGCAUUGCAAAAAUAAUAAAGAUCUUAUACCCG